AGUGAACGCUGGCGGUAGGCCUAACACAUGCAAGUCGAACGGCAGCACAGUAAGAGCUUGCUCUUACGGGUGGCGAGUGGCGGACGGGUGAGGAAUACAUCGGAAUCUACUUUUUCGGGGGGGAUAACGUAGGGAAACUUACGCUAAUACCGCAUACGACCUACGGGUGAAAGCAGGGGAUCUUCGGACCUUUCGCGAUUGAAUGAGCCGAUGUCGGAUUAGCUAGUUGGCGGGGUAAAGGCCCACCAAGGCGACGAUGCGUAGCUGGCCUGAGAGGAUGAUCGGCCACACUGGAACUGAGACACGGUCCAGACUCCUACGGGAGGCAGCAGUAGGGAAUCUUGGACAAUGGGCGCAAGCCUGACCGAGCCACGCCGCGUGAGUGAAGAAGGUCUUCGGGUCGUAAAGCUCUUUUAUUAGGAAAGAACAGCUGUGUAAUUAUCUAUCCCCGUUUUGACGGUACCCAAAGAAUAAGCACCGGCUAACUACGUG
This 492-nucleotide ribosomal RNA is filed under the name uncultured bacterium. Its description in RNAcentral is "partial 16S ribosomal RNA". It matches the Rfam family "Bacterial small subunit ribosomal RNA", at positions 29 to 507 of the family's 1533-position model. The record is from RNAcentral.